RNAcentral lists this long non-coding RNA (2948 nucleotides) under Xyrichtys novacula (pearly razorfish). The record is from RNAcentral. Lineage: Eukaryota; Metazoa; Chordata; Actinopteri; Labriformes; Labridae.
GCCAAGACUAAGAGCCAGGAUCAACUCACUCCCUGACCAUCAGCUUUUAAGGUGUGUGUGUGUGUGUGUGUGUGUGUGUGUGUGUGUGUGUGUGUGUGUGUGUGUGUGUGUGUGUGUGUGUGUGUGUGUGUGUGUGUGUGUGCUUUGAGAGAAACUAAAAAUUAAAGACAACAAAGAUCCAGCAAAGAUACGUGCCAUCUGCAGUUACACAAGGUGCAGGCAGGGUAUAUCUGAUUUCCUCGUCAUCAUGAAGAAUAAUGCUGUUUGUCUUUCUGCAAAAACAUCCUCUGUAGAUGGUGGGAACAUUGGCAGAGAUCCUGCCCUUGGAUCAGUGAACACACAGCUGUAGUCUGCAGCAUGUAGAAGCUACUCCCAGGCAGCUGCACACUCUUCUCUCUGCAUCUCAUAUACAGAAGGGCCAAAAAUGAUGAUUCAAGGUGAGUGUGUCGUGUUGUAUUACCAUGUUCUGCUUUAUUUGUAAUGUUUGAAAGAAAGGUCAUAUAUAGCAAUGGCCACUAUGACGUACUUUCAGAAAGAAAUAUCAGAGUUGUUCAUUUUAUCAUUUUUAAAACUAUAACAUUUUAUACAGAUUGGAUCAGAAUGAUGUAAUGUGAUGCAUUGUUAUGUUUAAGUUACUACAAAUGUUACUGAUUCCAUAAGUAAAGACUCAAUGAUGUUAGGAUAAUAGUGUCCAUUAAGCAUAAUCUGAACCCUUUUGUGUCAACAAUUGUAAAAAUUUCAGUCACAUGACUUAAUUUCAGUUAAAUUUUAGUGUCAGUUAUUGUAUUGGUAAAAUGUUGUUUUAUGGUCUUUGCAUUUUUCAGAAACUGGCUGUAAUUUCCAACAGUUUGAAUCCUUAAAUCACUACUUUGUGAUACAUGGCAGGUGUUACUAGAACUGACAGAUCAGGGUUCAGUUCCCCUCCUCUCCACUGAGUAUUUUGACACCUUACAGCUAGUGUCUUGGUUUAGUCACCAACAAAAGUAUUCCUUCAUGUUCAGGGGCAAUAGUUGCAGAAUUGCUGCAGCUGUUUUUAAAGGAUACAAUUGUAAAAAAAGUGAGCUAUCCUCCCAGCACUGACACAGUUUGGGGUUAGUUUUCUGGACUAGUUAACCGUUAAACAGCUGUGUUAUACUCUCAGAUGGUAGGUCAUGUGAGUGGAAGGAAAAAAAAGACGUGAAUUCUCAAAAAUGAGGAGAACAUUUAUUAGGCCAUAUCGAAAUAAGAAAAAAAAAGUCAAAUUAAUUAAAUACUUGGCAAAAAUCUCCCCUGCAGAGGAAGACAAAAAUGAAACAUUAGUCCAACAUAAGUCCAACAAACUGGCUCUCCUCACAGCCUCACAUCUAAUGUGCCACACAUCACCCAGACUGCUGAAUUCACUCAGCUCAUAUACUCUGCUACCUGCAGCUUUAAUCACAGCCUCACAGAAUUCAGGUGUGUCCACUCUUACCUGCAAACAAUCCAAGUGAGAGAAGCUGCAGCAAUAACAAAAGGGAAAACAGAUCUGAAAACAGAAUUCCCCCAAAGGGAAAAAAACUUCACACUCUAUAUUUAGAAUGAAAUGUAAACAUCAUAUGCAUUUAAUAUAUGCUUCAAACCAACAUUGCUGGGGUGCUAGAGGAAUGUGCACCCUCCUUUAGCCUUAACAAUAAUUGGUGAGGACUCUAUGGCUUCAUUACUAACUGGUUAUUAUUAUUCUUAUCAUUGUCAUUAUUAUUACUCAGGAGGGGAGGCUUGAAACAAAACUAAAAGAGAGUGCGUCAGGAAAAGAGAUUAACAAAUCCUAGUUCAAACUUUUUCUUCGUAUCUAUUUGAUCAACAGCAACUAUUUGAUUCCAAUGAGACAUUGUCCAUCUCUAUGUUGCACCGAAGUGGCCUAUACAUCACAGCAGAGCAGGUUGAUGCAGUUCUGAUCAUUUUAGAGGUCUCCAGAGCUGAAAUUAUCACAGCACAAGAUCGAAUCCACAACAGAAGUUAAAAAUUUAACACUAAUUUUUGAUAUUAACAUCCUGUCAACUGUCUGACAACAACUUAGUAGUUAGAAGACACUGCUGUAGUGGUAUCUUGCUAUGCAGUUGGGUUUAUCUAUUCAGAUUGUUUGGGAAUCUGCCUUUGUGAUUUCUGAUUCAAUGCUAAUCAACUAAAAUGUAUUAAUAUAUGAAAACAAGAUUCAAAGCAACAUCUCCAACAAAAUGAUCCUGUGUCCUGAUUAGUCUUCAUGAUCCAGACGGUGACUAAAACGAGCUUUUUUUUGUGUGGAAAUGGUCCAAAUAGAAACUGAUGACUGUUUCUUAAAAGAUGUUUCUCUGUUUACUUUUUUCUUAUUCGUGUGGAGCAAAAAUCUCCAUGCAACAUAGUGAACAGUCAUGCAAAGCUACCACUCACCAUAAAUGCUCAAAUGUAGGGUGGGGGGAUCUUCUGUCUGACCUGUCUGCCCAGUGUGUGUGUCCCUUUAAUAUUAUCCCUGACUCCCUCUCCUCAGGGAGGGAGCGCUUGGUUUGUUGACGAGAGAGGAGGCACUGCAGUCACACCAAUGUUACAAAGUAGGUCACUUAUCCCACGUUUCACUGCGUGCCCAAAGCAGAUGGGUGACAGCGGUAAUUGGCAUCAGGGGCCGACAGCACGCUGUGAUGGCUCUCUCUCCUGAGAGACCGCAUCCACCUUUUCUCCUGCUGUCUGCCAGAACCAAAGUUAAAAAAGACCCAAUCCACCUCACUGCUCUUUGUCACGAACACAAGAACAAAAGGUCACAAUGUGUCACAGAUUAAAUGUUUUAAGCUUCCUCAGCAGGACUCGAGGUAUGCCAUUUAAAGCCUGCGUCAUCUUUUUAAAAUAGCAUUUCAUUUUAAAAAAGUUUAUCUGGACAGAGAAUAGAUAAGGACUUGAUGACACAAAAGGAUGCUUGACAAUUUACGAAUGAUAACAUGAAGAAAUGCUGAAAAUGAUAC